UACGUAGGGGGCAAGCGUUGUCCGGAUUUAUUGGGCGUAAAGAGCGUGUAGGCGGCCAGACAGGUCCGUUGUGAAAACUCGAGGCUCAACCUCGAGACGCCGAUGGAAACCGUCUGGCUAGAGUCCGGAAGAGGAGAGUGGAAUUCCUGGUGUAGCGGUGAAAUGCGCAGAUAUCAGGAAGAACACCAAUGGCGAAGGCAGCUCUCUGGGACGGUACUGACGCUGAGACGCGAAAGCGUGGGGAGCGAACAGG
RNAcentral lists this ribosomal RNA (253 nucleotides) under uncultured bacterium. Its description in RNAcentral is "partial 16S ribosomal RNA". It matches the Rfam family "Bacterial small subunit ribosomal RNA", at positions 524 to 776 of the family's 1533-position model. The record is from RNAcentral.